CAAGACGUAGCUAUAACCUAAAGCAUUCAGCUUACACCUGAAAGAUAUCUGUUGCCUAUCAGAUCGCCUUGA
Molecule: transfer RNA, 72 nt
Filed under: Pionus menstruus menstruus
Lineage: Eukaryota; Metazoa; Chordata; Aves; Psittaciformes; Psittacidae
Also listed under: 1 other name
Description: tRNA-Val
Source: RNAcentral